UACAGAGGGUGCAAGCGUUAAUCGGAAUUACUGGGCGUAAAGCGUGCGUAGACGGUUACAUAAGUCGGAUGUGAAAGCCCCGGGCUCAACCUGGGAAUUGCAUUCGAGACUGUGUAGCUAGGAUGUGGAAGAGGGAAGCGGAAUUUCCGGUGUAGCGGUGAAAUGCGUAGAUAUCGGAAGGAACACCAGUGGCGAAAGCGGCUUCCUGGUCCAGCAUCGACGUUCAGGCACGAAAGCGUGGGGAGCAAACAGG
This 253-nucleotide ribosomal RNA is filed under the name uncultured bacterium. Its description in RNAcentral is "partial 16S ribosomal RNA". It matches the Rfam family "Bacterial small subunit ribosomal RNA", at positions 524 to 776 of the family's 1533-position model. The record is from RNAcentral.